This 383-nucleotide ribosomal RNA is filed under the name Rhipicephalus evertsi evertsi. RNAcentral describes it as "partial 12S ribosomal RNA". Lineage: Eukaryota; Metazoa; Arthropoda; Arachnida; Ixodida; Ixodidae. The record is from RNAcentral.
AAACUAGGAUUAGAUACCCUAUUAUUUAAGAGCUAUAUAUUGUUAGUAAAUAAUUAUUACGAAAGCAAAAAAUUAUGGCGGUAUUUUAAGCUUUUCAGAGGAAUUUGCUCUUUAAUGGAUAAAACACCUAAAUCUUACUUGAAUUUGUUAAGUCAAUUUGUAUACCACUAUAAAAUUAAUUAUUUGCUUUAAUUAAUAAAGUAUAUAAUUUUUAAAACAAAUUAAGUCAAGGUGCAGUAAAAAUUUAAGAAUGAAGUGAAUUACAUUUCUUCUAAGAGAUUAAUGCAAUUAAAAAUAGAAUUAGGAUUUGAAAGUAAAAUUAAAAUAUAAUGUUAAUUUGAAUAAAGCUCUAAAAUAUGUACACAUCGCCCGUCGCUCUCAUU